This 217-nucleotide ribosomal RNA is filed under the name uncultured Thiobacillus sp. Its description in RNAcentral is "partial 16S ribosomal RNA". It matches the Rfam family "Bacterial small subunit ribosomal RNA", at positions 1165 to 1382 of the family's 1533-position model. Lineage: Bacteria; Pseudomonadati; Pseudomonadota; Betaproteobacteria; Nitrosomonadales; Thiobacillaceae. The record is from RNAcentral.
CGAGGAAGUGGGGAUGACGUCAAGUCCUCAUGGCCCUUAUGGGUAGGGCUUCACACGUCAUACAAUGGUCGGUACAGAGGGUUGCCAAGCCGCGAGGCGGAGCCAAUCCCACAAAGCCGAUCGUAGUCCGGAUUGUUCUCUGCAACUCGAGAGCAUGAAGUCGGAAUCGCUAGUAAUCGCAGGUCAGCAUACUGCGGUGAAUACGUUCCCGGGUCUU